AUGUGCAUACCUAAGAGUAAAGGAGGAAUGGGAUUUCGAGACAUUCAUUGUUUUAACUUGGCACUUUUGGCAAAGCAAGCAUGACGGCUUAUUGAGAACCCUGAUUCCCUAUGUGCAAAGAUUCUCAAAGCAAAGUAUUACCUUGGUGAUGAUCUUUUGAAUGUUAGUUUUUUUAAGGCAUCAUAUACUUGGCAAAGCCUAAUGGUAGGAGUGGAGACCCUCAAACAUGGUCAUAUAUGGAGGGUGGGCGAUGGACAGAAAAUUAAGAUAUGGGAUGAUAGUUGGAUUCACGGUCACCCACCAGGAAGGUUAUCUCCGGUAGAGGAAGUCAUCUCCUCUCCCGAGUGUUAG
RNAcentral lists this ribosomal RNA (351 nucleotides) under Triticum aestivum (bread wheat). RNAcentral's name for it is "partial small subunit ribosomal RNA". Lineage: Eukaryota; Viridiplantae; Streptophyta; Magnoliopsida; Poales; Poaceae. The record is from RNAcentral.